UUUACCGGGAGGACAUGACACAAGUGAUGUUGUUUUGGAUUUUAUGCUUCUACUACCAUUGUGUUUAUAACAAUUUAAUAGUGAAUGUGUAAUACAACACAUGUUUAGCUGGCUUGAACGACCUACAUAUUAUAUUCUCCACGUAGCAGAUUUUGUGAUGGUUCUGAAGAUUCAUAAUUCAUACAAUGUGAUACUUGAUUCCAUAUUGCAGCAGCACUGCUUCAAAGUAAGACUAUCAUAUUUCAUAGAACUAGCUAUAAAGGUAUAAAGGUAUUUUCAAAAUGGGAAGAAAGAAAAUGACAAAGUAUCGAUUUCGCAAACACAUAAGUUAUGACGAUAUACGUGAAGCUAUAAAGAAGCUGAAUAUUCAGACAUUCACAAAAUCGUGGCGGGAUGAACAGUCAGAAUAUGGGUUGAUAUGCAAUACAAUUGGCCGAAAAAACAGCACAACAAACAGGUUACGGAUACGAGCCCUGAUUAGAAACGAACCAAAAGCUGAACUUGAAAAGCCGGAGUGGCACAAUAUUAAAUUGAAGACUGAUGCAUUUGCAGAGAAUGAACACAUCGAAAAUGAUAACCGUAAAAACACUAAACAAGUUCUGGUAAUUGAUGAACUGUCAGGUAAAUCAAGUGCUGUAUAGAAUUAUUUGAACUUUUAUGACUGAUCAUGAUAUUUUGUACUGACUUCUUUUUUAUCAGAGAAAGAAAAGUUGGAUUUUCAAAAUUGUUGAUUUAUUAAUAGAAAUCUGUGAGACCUAUAAACAUGAAGGUAGCAUAAUACAAAGUAACAUAAAAAGAACAGUUAGUAAGUAAAAAUGAAAAUUUGAAUUGAUAGAUUUAUAAUAAUGUACAAAUUAAUACAGAAUGUUUUUCACAACUGCAUUGGCUUUUUUGGCAGUUUCAACAAGACAGUAGUUAUUAAAGUGAUUCAUACCUAGACAUUCUCCUAAAAAGAUUCGUACUGUAAAAUAUGGUCCUAUUGCACAUUUCUGAUAGCUGUUCAUUUAUAUUUUUUUAGCUCAACUAGCCCCAAGGGCCAAGUGAGCUUUUCUCACCACUUGGCGUCCGUCGUCCGUCGUCGUUAACAUUUUACAUUUUGAACAUCUUCUAGAGAACCACUGAACAUCAUGUAACCAAACAUGGCAUGAAUGUUCCUUAUGAGGUGCUGACCAAGUGUUGUUACUUUGUAGCCGAUCCAUCAUACAAGAUGGCCGCCAGCGGGGGACUUAGUUUAACAUAGAACCCUAUGGGAAAUGCAUAUAAAUGACUUCUUUUAGAGAACC
Long non-coding RNA from Mytilus trossulus (common blue mussel), 1283 nucleotides. RefSeq lists it as uncharacterized. The record is from RefSeq and is a predicted model, not a curated record. NCBI's taxonomy places the organism in Eukaryota, Metazoa, Mollusca, Bivalvia, Mytilida, Mytilidae. The transcript is spliced from 3 exons.